UGGGGAAUAUUGCACAAUGGGCGCAAGCCUGAUGCAGCCAUGCCGCGUGUGUGAAGAAGGCUUUCGGGUUGGAAAGCACUUUCAGCGGGGAGGAAGGCGGUGAGGUUAAUAACCUCACCGAUUGACGUUACCCGCAGAAGAAGCACCGGCUAACUCCGUGCCAGCAGCCGCGGUAAUACGGAGGGUGCAAGCGUUACUCGGAAUUACUGGGCGUAAAGCGCACGCAGGCGGUCUGUCAAGUCGGAUGUGAAAUCCCCGGGCUCAACCUGGGAACUGCAUUCGAGACUGGCAGGCUAGAGUCUUGUAGAGGGGGGUAGAAUUCCAGGUGUAGCGGUGAAAUGCGUAGAGAUCUGGAGGAAUACCGGUGGCGAAGGCGGCCCCCUGGACAAAGACUGACGCUCAGGUGCGAAAGCGUGGGGAGCAAACAGG
RNAcentral lists this ribosomal RNA (429 nucleotides) under Chloroflexota bacterium. RNAcentral describes it as "Chloroflexi bacterium partial 16S ribosomal RNA". It matches the Rfam family "Bacterial small subunit ribosomal RNA", at positions 355 to 776 of the family's 1533-position model. Lineage: Bacteria; Bacillati; Chloroflexota. The record is from RNAcentral.